GCCGAUGUGGUGGAAUGGCAGACACAAGGGACUUAAAAUCCCUCGCUCCGCAAGGGGCGUGCCGGUUCAAGUCCGGCCAUCGGCACCA
Molecule: transfer RNA, 88 nt
Filed under: Acidobacteriota bacterium
Lineage: Bacteria; Pseudomonadati; Acidobacteriota
Description: Acidobacteria bacterium (wastewater metagenome) tRNA-Leu
Rfam family: tRNA
About the family: Transfer RNA (tRNA) molecules are approximately 80 nucleotides in length. Their secondary structure includes four short double-helical elements and three loops (D, anti-codon, and T loops).
Source: RNAcentral